GAAUGCAUGGCUUUAAGCCGGCGCUGUAAAAGGCUGCAUACCCAUAAUAAUGGAGUGUUUUAUGUACGUGAAUUAGCUUCCGUCAGACGCAAGCCAUACAUACUGUACAAAGAGAAAACUGGUAUUAUUGGAUGUGAUUCAUACACAUUGAAAGUUGAAAUAAUGAGGAUAUAUCCUGAAUUAUCUGGUUCUUCAAGGAAGGUGACUAAAAGCCUAGAGGGUUAUAAUUUCUUAAUUUUUAGCUGGGUGCAAGAACUGAAGAGGAAAAAGUGUUGACAAUAUUUUUAUGUAUUCACGCUGGCAGAUUUCUCCCUGACAUCAGUGAUGUUAACUGAGGACACACAACUGAGGAUGCGUAGGCUGUCUAACACUAGCAUAAGUCGCAGGCCCUUUGGCAAAACCAAAUACAUAUUCUUAGUGCUGGAUGAAGCCCAUGUGGUGCCCUAUGCAAGCCUCAUUGCCGGUAGUGAAGGUUGACGGAGGUGGUGCUGCUGAUUUGCUGAGUGGGCGUCCCCUCAGAAGAUGGCACGCCAGGCAGGGAACAAUGUCACCUACAGGAUUUACCGGCCCUGCAUAUUGUGUGACUUAAAUGUGUCAAGAAAAGAUUUUGUCUCUGUGCUUUUAGUAUUGUAUACUACAUCCAUCAGGUGUUUUUGCUUACUUAGGCCCAAUGGCAUUGACCACAAGGUUAUCAACAUUUUAUAAAAACAACCAAUAGAAAGCUUUUGUUAAAUGAAAAAUAAUAGCAUUGUUAUUCAAUUCAUGAGGAUAGCAUUAAUCUAUGCAUAAUUCUAUGUAAAUUUAAGUUAUUAAAUGAUCUAAAGAAUUAUUCAUAUUACCUGAAAAAUAAAUCAAUGUUUGCUAGCUUUUAAAAGUAGGGAGUCUGAUUUUAACCUUAAAUCAAACAUUUUACAUGACAUUGAGAUUCAAAUACUACUACUUUAAAAGAACAUCAGAAUUGGUCUCUCUACUCUUUGCACUCUUUCACCAUUUCAAAUGCAAAUCUACUGAGGGGGUUAUGUAUUUUUUUAAAAUGUUUUCAUAACAUAUGAUUCAACACUCAACACCUACUAUACAUCACAGCCCGUUCUUGUUUCAGUGAUUAAUGUGUCUUGGAGUCACUGCUGACAUGCCUAACGAGCAUUAGUUAAGUAUCUCCUUCAGAAUAGCUAGUAACUAGAUUUGAAUGCACCAACAGAAAGAUUUCAAAUAAGAGUAUAAAGGUAUAAAAAUAAAAUCCACUAUUACAGUGUUCACAUGUUAAUAUGAACUGAUCCUUGAAUCCAAAGUUAUGAUUCUCAUCAUAGAUUCAUUUGCUGUUGUUUUUUCCACACAGAAUUCAUUCUUAAAGGUUGUAUACAAAAAAGGCAAGAAAGAAUGAUAUAAGUAAUUCCCUGGUGCAUAUUUACACCCAUGACUGACAGAUUGGCAAAAGUUCUUUAGUUAAGCAUGUAACAUAAUGAGAAAUAACUUGGACAGAAUGAUUCUAGUUUUUGCUCAAACAGAUUAUUUCAUUGCUGUAGCAAAACCAGGCACAAGCUUGUUCCUCUUGCUGACUGAU
Molecule: long non-coding RNA, 1561 nt
Organism: Paramormyrops kingsleyae
Lineage: Eukaryota; Metazoa; Chordata; Actinopteri; Osteoglossiformes; Mormyridae
Source: RefSeq, a predicted model, not a curated record